GAAAGAAGGAAGGAAAAUACUUUGUGUAAAUUUGCCAUAUUUAUGCUCCUUCUAUUAAAGCAUGUUUACUUGCACUGUGAUUUUAUCUUUUAAGCGAAAUAUUUCAAACAGGUAGAGAACAGUAUAGUAAAUGUCUAUGUACCUUCCCUCCUAGCAUAAAAAUAAUAAAGUUCAAUUCAUUUUUUCCUAGUUUUCGCUAACCCAGAGGGUAAUUUAGACCCUAUAUUAACAGUAACAAAUAGCAUUUUUUAAAAAAAUGUCUGUCCCAAAGGCUAGACAGCCCACAAGGGUUUCCCUCAUUAUUUUGGGAAAUUGUGUGAGGGUUGCUUUCAAACACCAGGAAUUUGCACAACCACAUGGAGUACAUGGUUCUCUCUGGCUCUGGCUUCAUCUCCCAGCAGAAAUGUCUGCUGCCAGUAGCUGUGGAAGGCACCUAAGGGCUGCUACUGCCACAGGUGCCACCUGCAGCUGACACUAUUGAAGCUAUACUUCAUUGGGUCCUUGGAGUGGUGACGGUGCUCUUGUUCUCCCUGGAGGUAGAAAAAGCCUUCUCCUCUUCUUGAGAUACAGGGAUCCUAAAUUAGUGUGGCUGGUGAUCACAACAUCUCAUCAAUAUUUGGUGAAACAGGCCUCACAGCUGUUCAUCAGACAAGUGAAUUAACUGACCAAUUGUUGUACUUAGAACCUUUGUCCCUCUCCAGUACUCAAGCAUUAUCUGAGUCCCAAGCUCACUUUUCCUAGAGAAUGGGCUUCUCGAAGGGGCUGCCCUUGUUUCUCAGUACACAUACACCAUUGGCCAACUUGCCUGUCAAUCCUACAGGCCAGUCUAGAUUCUAGAGCAAACAUACUUUAAGUCCCAGCUUGGCUUACUCUUCUAAGGGAAGAACUCAUGUCCAUCAGAUUUAUUUGAUGUUAUUUUCUGAACAAUAAAAAUGUUCAAAUAGAUUAUAGGAACAUUGCCUAGGAUAAUGUGGUAUAGCUGUGGUUUGUGAUUUAUGGUAUAUCCAUAUGAUUAAGUACAAUGUACAGUUUUCAAAUGAUUAUGAAAAUUAUGUGGCAAGAUAGUAACAUGGUCAUUACAUACAAGUAGAAAAAUCAGGAUUCAAAAUUAUAUGCAUAUUAUGAUUAAAACUAGUAUUACUUGUGAUUAUAACUAUUAUGAUUUUACUUACAAACAAAUAAUUAGAGAACAUAGCCAUGUUAGGGGGAGGAUCAUAAGUUAUAUCAUAAUGACAGAAUUUAUUUUUCAGAAUGUUUAUUACAUAAAGUAAUAAAAUAUUUACUAUGUACUAAAAAUUGUUACCAAAUAUUAAGUAUUGCAUAAUCUUUCUGUUUUGUAAAACACUGUCUGAGCACCAGUACUAAAGGAUCUUUUAUACAGCUGAUUACGGCAAGAACCUGGAAUCAAUAAAAUAUGGUAUUUUUUCUUCGUCUCAAACUUUCUCUGUCUCUCUCUCACCCCUGGCUCCGUCUGCCUCUGCUUCUUCCUGUCCUUUUCCCUCUCUCUCUCUCUCUCUCCCUCUCCUCUCUCUCUCUCUCUCUGUCACACACACACACACACACACACACACGAUUUGUUAAACUCAGAAGGGAAGAUUAAAAACAAAUAAUUCACCUAUAAUAAUAUACUAGUGUUUGUUUACAGUUUUAAAUUAAGCUUUAAAAAGUUUAUUAUUUAGGGUCAUAGCAGAAAAAAAGAUGUAUAUUCAAAGGUUUGUCAUUGAAUACAGUUUAAUAAUGGGACUCUUUGCAAAGGUAUGGGCGGAUUAAGGGAGCUGGGAAGGAAGAGUGAGGCACCCAGGAACUAGCAACUCUGGGAAGUCAUUACCAUCCCUUUCCUGAAGGAGCAAGGAGGAGGGAAUUGUCCUGGAACCUAGUGAGAGCUACAGCCUUGGGAGAGGAGCUGCCCGACAAGAGAUGCGGCCAUAAAGGAAAAAGCACAGCUGUAGAAACAGAAUGGAGAGAGGAGUAUGUAUCCUGGUCUCUCCUCCUGCCUUCUGAUUGCCCGCCGGUGCUUCCCACUGGCCAAACCUGACUGCAAGAUUGAGGCCAAUGGAGCCUGGUGACGCAGUCCCUGGAAGUCAGCCUCUUGACAUAGAGAAGGCAAAGAAGGGUGGAGAAUGAAUUUGGAGGGGCAAAUGGAGAAUAACCAGUACACAGCACCCAGCUUUUCCAUAUCAUAGGAGACAGGGCUGGAGUUUGGAUGGCUGUGUACUCUGCUGAUGGAAAUUUAUGGCUGUGUCCAUACACUGUACUUUAUUUGCAACGAUGAUCUGAAAGUCUUCAGUUUCCUGCACAAUCCUGGACUGGUCAUGUCUCAGCCUGUGACCCAGCUGUUGUUGCGCUGGAGCUCUUUCAUCCUGUUUGCCAACUUAUAUCUCCUGUGUCCUGUAUCCAUGCUUUUUUCUUCUCGCACUUUAUUGGAGCACACAAAUAGAUUCCUUAGAAAGUCUUCGUAAGAAGCUAAUUUUCUGAGACCGUUCAUGUCAGAAUAUGUCCUUACUCUAACCCUUGACUAAUAGUUUGGCUGAGUGUAAAAUUUUAGACUAAGAAACAUUUGUUUUUCAAAAUAGGGCAUUGCUUAAUUUUCUUCUCACAAUUGUAUAUGUGAUUUUUUUCUCUCAAAAUUUCCCUUGAUCAGACUUUUUGGGAUAUUUCCUUAUCUUCCUAACCUUCUAUGUAUUAUUUUUAUUUUGGCCAACUAGUUCUUUUUAACCUUUGUUUUUCUCACAGCAUCCUCUUAUUAUUUUAAAGAUGUCAUUUAUCUGUAGAUAUGUGUAUACAGUAAAUAUACAAAUAUGUACACAAA
Macaca mulatta (Rhesus monkey) is the source of this 2809-nucleotide non-coding RNA. Lineage: Eukaryota; Metazoa; Chordata; Mammalia; Primates; Cercopithecidae. The record is from RefSeq and is a predicted model, not a curated record.